AGAGUUUGAUCAUGGCUCAGGAUGAACGCUAGCUACAGGCUUAACACAUGCAAGUCGAGGGGCAGCAUGGUCUUAGCUUGCUAAGGCCGAUGGCGACCGGCGCACGGGUGAGUAACGCGUAUCCAACCUGCCUUACACUCUUGGACAGCCUCUGAAAGGGAGAUUAAUACAAGAUGUUAUCAUGAGUAAGCAUUUUCGCAUGAUUAAAGGUUUACCGGUGUAAGAUGGGGAUGCGUUCCAUUAGAUAGCAGGCGGGGUAACGGCCCACCUAGUCUUCGAUGGAUAGGGGUUCUGAGAGGAAGGUCCCCCACAUUGGAACUGAGACACGGUCCAAACUCCUACGGGAGGCAGAA
This 353-nucleotide ribosomal RNA is filed under the name uncultured bacterium. RNAcentral's name for it is "bacterial SSU rRNA". It matches the Rfam family "Bacterial small subunit ribosomal RNA", at positions 8 to 353 of the family's 1533-position model. The record is from RNAcentral.